RNAcentral lists this long non-coding RNA (652 nucleotides) under Monodelphis domestica (gray short-tailed opossum). RNAcentral's name for it is "lncRNA (ENSMODG00000049708.1)". Lineage: Eukaryota; Metazoa; Chordata; Mammalia; Didelphimorphia; Didelphidae. The record is from RNAcentral.
UAAAGACCAGCAUCGGUCAUGGCUUGUGCUUUUGUUUUUUAAAAAGUUUUCAUAAUCGUAUUUCAAUAUAAUUGUGAGCUUGUCUACCUUAUUGUAUAUAUUUAAAGACAUUAUUCUAAGAAGGAAUCUAGAAGCUUCACUAGACUUCCCAAGAAGUCCAUGACCCCCCAAAGUGAAGAAUCCCUGGACUAGAUGACCUCUCAAACCUCUUCCGAUUUUUAAUCCAUGAUGCUAAGUGUCAAGCAGGGAUAUGAACUAGCUAGAAAGAUCUGAGGGGGGAGAGACGAAGAGAGGUGACUCAGAGCUGACAAUGCAGCCAAAUGGUUAGAAGACAUCCCAAAGAGCUGGAGAUUCUGAAGGCAAGAUUCUCCAAGGUUUCCUCUUUGCACGGGUUACCAUGGAUUUCCUAAAUAAGUUGCUCUUCAAAUCAGGUGAUCUAAGCAAGGUCAGUAGAUAGAGUUGGUAAACUUCACUGGCUGUUUGAUUGAAGAUAAAGGGAAUGCUUUUGGAACAAUGGAGCUGAAAGAUUUCUACGUGACCCUUGAAAACAGAGAGGAAAUGUCUAGCCAGGAAUCCAGGCUAGAAACUUUGUUGAGUUAGUUUUGGACAUUACACUCAAUGAACCACCCCCUUACCAACCUAAUUCCUGAAU